AGAGUUUGAUCCUGGCUCAGAUUGAACGCUGGCGGCAGGCCUAACACAUGCAAGUCGAGCGGAUGAUGGGAGCUUGCUCCUGGAUUCAGCGGCGGACGGGUGAGUAAUGCCUAGGAAUCUGCCUGGUAGUGGGGGACAACGUUUCGAAAGGAACGCUAAUACCGCAUACGUCCUACGGGAGAAAGCAGGGGACCUUCGGGCCUUGCGCUAUCAGAUGAGCCUAGGUCGGAUUAGCUUGUUGGUGAGGUAAUGGCUCACCAAGGCGACGAUCCGUAACUGGUCUGAGAGGAUGAUCAGUCACACUGGAACUGAGACACGGUCCAGACUCCUACGGGAGGCAGCAGUGGGGAAUAUUGGACAAUGGGCGAAAGCCUGAUCCAGCCAUGCCGCGUGUGUGAAGAAGGUCUUCGGAUUGUAAAGCACUUUAAGUUGGGAGGAAGGGUUGUAGAUUAAUACUCUGCAAUUUUGACGUUACCGACAGAAUAAGCACCGGCUAACUCUGUGCCAGCAGCCGCGGUAAUACAGAGGGUGCAAGCGUUAAUCGGAAUUACUGGGCGUAAAGCGCGCGUAGGUGGUUUGUUAAGUUGGAUGUGAAAGCCCCGGGCUCAACCUGGGAACUGCAUCCAAAACUGGCAAGCUAGAGUACGGUAGAGGGUGGUGGAAUUUCCUGUGUAGCGGUGAAAUGCGUAGAUAUAGGAAGGAACACCAGUGGCGAAGGCGACCACCUGGACUGAUACUGACACUGAGGUGCGAAAGCGUGGGGAGCAAACAGGAUUAGAUACCCCGGUAGUCC
RNAcentral lists this ribosomal RNA (793 nucleotides) under uncultured bacterium. Its description in RNAcentral is "bacterial SSU rRNA". It matches the Rfam family "Bacterial small subunit ribosomal RNA", at positions 8 to 796 of the family's 1533-position model. The record is from RNAcentral.